CCUUUCAAUGCAGAAGAGUUGAGGUGGUUGAGUAUUCUCGGCCCCUCAAAGUUCCUCGCUGUAUUUUACCCUUGUUUUUCUCAUACUAUUAUUUCCUCGGACAGGGCCAGCCUGCCGGUGAACUGAAACAACUCUACAAACCUGCUGUUAAUUUUCAAUACAGCGUCUGAACAAAUUAAUAAUUA
RNAcentral lists this unclassified non-coding RNA (185 nucleotides) under soil metagenome. Its description in RNAcentral is "partial internal transcribed spacer 1". The record is from RNAcentral.